UACGUAGGGGGCAAGCGUUGUCCGGAUUUAUUGGGCGUAAAGAGCGUGUAGGCGGUCAGGUAGGUCCGUUGUGAAAACUAGAGGCUUAACCUCUAGACGUCGAUGGAAACUGUUUGGCUAGAGUCCGGAAGAGGAGAAUGGAAUUCCUGGUGUAGCGGUGAAAUGCGCAGAUAUCAGGAAGAACACCCGUGGCUAAGGCGGUUCUCUAGUACGGUACUGACGCUGAGACGCGAAAGCGUGGGGAGCGAACAGG
RNAcentral lists this ribosomal RNA (253 nucleotides) under uncultured bacterium. RNAcentral's name for it is "partial 16S ribosomal RNA". It matches the Rfam family "Bacterial small subunit ribosomal RNA", at positions 524 to 776 of the family's 1533-position model. The record is from RNAcentral.